Molecule: transfer RNA, 58 nt
Filed under: Salmo salar (Atlantic salmon)
Lineage: Eukaryota; Metazoa; Chordata; Actinopteri; Salmoniformes; Salmonidae
Rfam family: tRNA
About the family: Transfer RNA (tRNA) molecules are approximately 80 nucleotides in length. Their secondary structure includes four short double-helical elements and three loops (D, anti-codon, and T loops).
Source: Rfam by way of RNAcentral
UGGCUCGGUUGGUAGAGCAUGGUGUUUGCAACGCCAGGGUUGUGGGUUCAAUUCCCAC